UUAUUAGUGAUUCUCCAUAAAUAUGCAUAAAGAAUAGAAAUAUAACAAUUAAUAAUAAGGGUAUUAUAGGUAAAUUAUUAUAAAAAAAUAAACCAUUUAAGGUAAGUAGACAUUUAACUUGGGACUGCCUGAAAUAGUAAUAAAGAUUUUUAUCUCGGGAUGGAAGGAGUAUUUGAUAAAGUUAGAUUGUAAUCAAUGUCCGCCGAAAACUUUCACAAUGUAUACCAAG
RNAcentral lists this long non-coding RNA (229 nucleotides) under Panax ginseng (ginseng). Its description in RNAcentral is "long non-coding RNA (PGIN_LNC008080)". Lineage: Eukaryota; Viridiplantae; Streptophyta; Magnoliopsida; Apiales; Araliaceae. The record is from RNAcentral.